UUAAGGUAUUAAGGGUGUACGACGGAUACCUUGGCACAAAGAGGCGAAGAAGGACGUGGUUAACUGCGAUAAGCUACGGUGAGCUGUAAGCGAGUCUUGACCCGUAGAUGUCCGAAUGGGGGAACCCAUCUUUGUUAAUACGAAGAUACACUCAUAGUAACUAUGAGUGAGCUAACUCGGGGAAGUGAACCAUCUCAGUACCCGAAGGAAGAGAAAUCAAAAGAGAUUUCCUUAGUAGCGGCGAGCGAACGGGAAAGAGCCUAAACCAAAGAGAUGUUAAAGCCGGUAAGCGUUGUCUGUUUGGUGUUGUGGGAGCCUAGUGAGUGAAUUACCGUUUACUCAAAGAGUUACAAACUUAUAUUAUAGUAGAAGAGGAUUGAAAGCCUCGCCAUAGAGGGUGUUAGCCCCGUAUAUGAAAUGAUAUGAGCUCUUAUAGGAGUUCCCGAGUAGGGCGGGACACGAGAAAUCCUGUUUGAAUCUGGGUGGACCAUCAUCCAAGGCUAAAUACUCCUUUGUGACCGAUAGUGAACUAGUACCGUGAGGGAAAGGUGAAAAGACCCCCUGUUAGGGGAGUGAAAUAGAAUUUGAAAUCGUAUACCUACAAGCAGUCGGAGACAUAGUUUACUAUGUUGACGGCGUGCCUUUUGUAAAAUGAGCCGGCUAGUUAAUCUCUGUGGCAAGGUUAAGGUGUGUAACCGUAGCCGUAGCGAAAGCGAGUCUUAAUAGGGCGUAAGUCAUUGGGAUUAGACGCGAAGCGGGAUGAUCUAUCCAUGUCCAGGUUGAAUUUCGGGUAACACCGCAAGGAGGACCGAACCAUUGAAUGUUGAAAAAUUCUUGGAUGAGGUGUGGAUAGGGGUGAAAGGCCAACCAAAUUCCGUGAUAGCUCGUUCUCUCCGAAAUAGCUUUAGGGCUAGCCUUACAUGUUUCUUUACGGAGGUAGAUCACUUGAUGGACUAGGGCCCUGAGAGGGGUACUGAAUCCAACUAAAAUCCGAAUGCCGUAAAGUAAGAGUGUAGGAGUCAGACUAUGGGGGAUAAGCUCCAUGGUCGAGAGGGAAACAGCCCAGAUCGCCAGCUAAGGUCCCCAAGAGUAUGCUAAGUGGAAAAGGAAGUGAAUAUACAAAGACAGCCAGGAGGUUGGCUUAGAAGCAGCCAUCCUUUAAAGAAAGCGUAAUAGCUCACUGGUUGAGUGUGUAUGCGCCGAAGAUGUAACGGGGCUUAAGCAUACUACCGAAGCUGCGGACUGUAUAUUUAUAUAUAGUGGUAGGAGAGCAUUCCAGCGUGUUAGAUUAGAGUUGUGAGACUUUAUGUUAUCCUGGAAGAGACUCUGCCGGCAUGAGUAGUGAUAAUCAGGGUGAGAACCCUUGACGCCGAAAAUCUAAGGUUUCCCGGGGAAGGUCAGUCCGCCCGGGGUUAGUCGGAUCCUAAGGUGAAGCCGAAGGGCGUAGCCGAUGGCAAGCAGGUCAACAUUCCUGCACCACCGAAGAGACGUUUGUACGACGCAGGGACGCAGCAGGCUAGGUGAACCGUACCGUUGGUUGAGUACGGUCUGUUACGAGGUCGUGUUUUUUAAUAGGAAUGCAUCAGGCCAAGGAAGCAGAGGAAGUAGGGUUUUUACCCUAUGAACUCAUUGAUGUCAUACUGCCAAGAAAAGCUGCUAAGGAGUUUUUAGGUGUCCGUACCGCAAACCAACACAGGUAGAUGGGUUGAGUAUACUAAGGCGCACGUGUGAAGUCUUCUUAAGGAACUCGGCAAAUUAACUCCGUAACUUAGGGAUAAGGAGUGCCUCAUGUAGAGUGAUUUAUCUUAAAGAGCUCGAAGAGGUCGCAGUGAAUAGGUCCAAGCGACUGUUUAUCAAAAACACAGGACUCUGCAAAAUCAAAGAUGACGUAUAGGGUCUGACGCCUGCCCGGUGCCGGAAGGUUAAAUGGAAGGGUUAGCCACUUGUGGCGAAGCUGUGAAAUGAAGCCCCGGUAAACGGCGGCCGUAACUAUAACGGUCCUAAGGUAGCGAAAUUCCUUGUCGGGUAAGUUCCGACCCGCACGAAAGGCGUAACGAUUUG
This 2061-nucleotide ribosomal RNA is filed under the name oral metagenome. Its description in RNAcentral is "bacterial LSU rRNA". It matches the Rfam family "Bacterial large subunit ribosomal RNA", at positions 3 to 2011 of the family's 2925-position model. The record is from RNAcentral.